RNAcentral lists this ribosomal RNA (497 nucleotides) under uncultured bacterium. RNAcentral describes it as "partial 16S ribosomal RNA". It matches the Rfam family "Bacterial small subunit ribosomal RNA", at positions 28 to 507 of the family's 1533-position model. The record is from RNAcentral.
GAUGAACGCUGGCGGCGUGCCUAAUACAUGCAAGUCGAGCGAACGGACGAGAAGCUUGCUUCUCUGAUGUUAGCGGCGGACGGGUGAGUAACACGUGGAUAACCUACCUAUAAGACUGGGAUAACUUCGGGAAACCGUAGCUAAUACCGGAUAAUAUUUUGAACCGCAUGGUUCAAAAGUGAAAGACGGUCUUGCUGUCACUUAUAGAUGGAUCCGCGCUGCAUUAGCUAGUUGGUAAGGUAACGGCUUACCAAGGCAACGAUGCAUAGCCGAACUGAGAGGGUGAUCGGCCACACUGGAACUGAGACACGGUCCAGACUCCUACGGGAGGCAGCAGUAGGGAAUCUUCCGCAAUGGGCGAAAGCCUGACGGAGCAACGCCGCGUGAGUGAUGAAGGUCUUAGGAUCGUAAAACUCUGUUAUUAGGGAAGAACAUAUGUGUAAGUAACUGUGCACAUCUUGACGGUACCUAAUCAGAAAGCCACGGCUAACUACGUG